CCCUACGGGAGGCAGCAGUGGGGAAUAUUGCGCAAUGGGGGCAACCCUGACGCAGCCAUGCCGCGUGUGUGAAGAAGGCCUUCGGGUUGUAAAGCACUUUCAGAGGGGAGGAAAGGCUCAGGGCUAAUAUCCCUGGGAGUUGACGCUACCCUCAGAAGAAGCACCGGCUAAUUCCGUGCCAGCAGCCGCGGUAAUACGGAAGGUGCAAGCGUUAAUCGGAAUUACUGGGCGUAAAGCGCGCGUAGGCGGCUUGGUAAGUCGGGUGUGAAAGCCCCGGGCUCAACCUGGGAACUGCACUCGAUACUGCCGGGCUAGAGUACGAGAGAGGGGGGUGGAAUUCCAGGUGUAGCGGUGAAAUGCGUAGAGAUCUGGAGGAACACCGGUGGCGAAGGCGGCCCCCUGGUUCGAUACUGACGCUGAGGUGCGAAAGCGUGGGGAGCAAACAGGAUUAGAUACCCCAGUAGUCC
RNAcentral lists this ribosomal RNA (467 nucleotides) under uncultured bacterium. Its description in RNAcentral is "bacterial SSU rRNA". It matches the Rfam family "Bacterial small subunit ribosomal RNA", at positions 337 to 796 of the family's 1533-position model. The record is from RNAcentral.